RNAcentral lists this ribosomal RNA (433 nucleotides) under uncultured bacterium. Its description in RNAcentral is "partial 16S ribosomal RNA". It matches the Rfam family "Bacterial small subunit ribosomal RNA", at positions 30 to 507 of the family's 1533-position model. The record is from RNAcentral.
AACGAACGCUGGCGGCAUGCCUAACACAUGCAAGUCGAACGAGACCUUCGGGUCUAGUUGCGCACGGGUGCGUAACGCGUUGGAACCUUCCUUUAUGUUCGGAAUAACUCAGAGAAAUUUGUGCUAAUACCGGAUGAUGUCUUCUGACCAAAGAUUUAUCGCCUUUAGAUGGGCCCGCGUUGGAUUAGCUUGUUGGUGGGGUAAAGGCCUACCAAGGCGAGGAUCCAUAGCUGGUCUGAGAGGAUGAUAAGACACACUGGGACUGAGACACGGACGAGACUAGGACGGGAGGAAGCAGUGGGGAAUAGAGGAAAAUGGGGGAAAGGAUGAACAAGCAAGGACGGGUGAGAGAUGAAGGCAUUAGGGAUGUAAAGCAAUUUUAAACGAGAAGAUAAUGACAGUAACGGGAGAAUAAGCGCCGGCUAACUACGUG